AUCCGAUAUAGUGUAACGGCUAUCACAUCACGCUUUCACCGUGGAGACCGGGGUUCGACUCCCCGUAUCGGAGUAUGUUUAUUUUAUUUUUUUCAUAUCCGCUC
Molecule: transfer RNA, 104 nt
Filed under: Saccharomyces cerevisiae (brewer's yeast)
Lineage: Eukaryota; Fungi; Ascomycota; Saccharomycetes; Saccharomycetales; Saccharomycetaceae
Description: tRNA-Glu
Rfam family: tRNA (bases 2-73)
About the family: Transfer RNA (tRNA) molecules are approximately 80 nucleotides in length. Their secondary structure includes four short double-helical elements and three loops (D, anti-codon, and T loops).
Source: RNAcentral